This is a long non-coding RNA of Aricia agestis (brown argus), 599 nucleotides long. RefSeq lists it as uncharacterized. The transcript is spliced from 2 exons. NCBI's taxonomy places the organism in Eukaryota, Metazoa, Arthropoda, Insecta, Lepidoptera, Lycaenidae. The record is from RefSeq and is a predicted model, not a curated record.
CGAGUUUCUGUUAGCGACAUUAAAUAAUGACAGAAUAUUUCACACCAUAUAAAUAGCACACGAAAAGAUUAUGGCGUCCAUUAGUAGUAGUGUGAAAUUGUUGGCAAAAAUAUGACGAAAUUAUUGCAACGCAUUUUGGUCAUAUUUCUACUUUUCGCUGCUGUUAAUGGAGGUGUUACAGCGAAAGUCGAAAAUUUGGAAUACAAUCAUUUGAAAGACUACAAAAAAAUUCCUGUCAAAAAUGACGUAGAAAAUGGAGUAUCCAACGUGAAACAUCAGGGUGAAAACGGAGAUGGAACAUUAUUAUUACUAAAUACGUUGAGAAGAAGAAUGAAAGCUAAGAACUACGAUGAAAAAAUGAAGGGCUAUGCGUUGAUGUAUGAUAGAGAAAGCGGCCGUCCCGUAGCGAGAAUUGCUUUUACAUCAAUCAUGGGUUUCGUAGGAGCGUUAUCAAGCAUAUUCAGUAUAGCCAAAGGCGCAGCGCAAAAACGUAAAGGCUAAUAUUAUAGCUAUUCCUGAUCAACACUAAACUGCUGCUUAGUAAUUUGCGUUCCACUAUCAACGACAGGACCUUUCAAUCCAUGCCCAACAAAAAAGAA